UUUCCUACAUCUUUCACUUUACCCCGAGAGUUUUUCAGAGGAGGUUUGAUUUGAAACUCGUCGAAAUCCAGAGUGAUCCGGUGAUUCCGGGGCGAUUUAGAAUCGUCCGAACAGCGAAAUGAGAGCUAAGUGGCGUAAGAAGAGGAUGCGCAGGCUAAAGCGCAAGAGGAGGAAGAUGCGUGCGAGGUCCAAAUAAGCGGCUCCUCUUCACAGACUCUCCGUGGGAAAAGCAGACCUGCGACGUUUCACCGUUCGACGAACGCUCCUGGCAGAUUUGAGAAUCCCGAGGAGACGAAUCUUCAAUGGACACGUUUCUCACACCGAGAGCAUUUUGUACAUCUUGCAAAUCUUGUUUGAUUAAAUACAUCCAGCUCCUACAAGAUAGAA
Temnothorax curvispinosus is the source of this 387-nucleotide long non-coding RNA. RefSeq lists it as uncharacterized. Lineage: Eukaryota; Metazoa; Arthropoda; Insecta; Hymenoptera; Formicidae. The transcript is spliced from 3 exons. The record is from RefSeq and is a predicted model, not a curated record.